CCUUUUUGAGUACUGUUUCGUUUCCUCGGCAGGCACGCCUGCCAACGGGGACCCUUCAAAACGCUUUGUAAUACCUGUCAUUGUCUGAUAUAACAAGCAAAAAUCAAAACUUUCAACAACGGAUCUCUUGGUUCUGGCAUCGAUGAAGAACGCAGCGAAAUGCGAUAAGUAGUGUGAAUUGCAGAAUUCAGUGAAUCAUCGAAUCUUUGAACGCACAUUGCGCCCUUUGGUAUUCCUUAGGGCAUGCCUGUUCGAGCGUCAUUUAAAACCUUCAAGCUCAGCUUGGUGAUGGGUGACUGUCCCCUCCCUUCGCGGGGGGACUCGCCUCAAAAAACAUUGGCGGCGGUACAUUGGCUUCGAGCGCAGCAGAAACGCGGUCUCGAGCCCGGUGGAUCGGCUCCCAUAAGCCUCAUUCUUUAUUUUGAC
Molecule: ribosomal RNA, 426 nt
Filed under: Preussia sp. UFMGCB 5097
Lineage: Eukaryota; Fungi; Ascomycota; Dothideomycetes; Pleosporales; Sporormiaceae
Description: eukaryotic LSU rRNA
Rfam family: 5.8S ribosomal RNA (bases 108-261)
Source: RNAcentral